Non-coding RNA from Hyla sarda, 420 nucleotides. NCBI's taxonomy places the organism in Eukaryota, Metazoa, Chordata, Amphibia, Anura, Hylidae. The record is from the annotation of a RefSeq genome assembly.
GAACCUUUAAUGUCAGACGGGAUUAAGCUUCUUAAAUUGAUGUCGAUCACUAUAGUUGUGCAUCAGAUCAAGACGAUGAGACAACUCUUGUUGAUUUUCAUCCUGAACUUUUUGACAUGUCAAGGUCAGCAACAGGUGACGGUCACUCAAGACAAAAAGUUUGCAGUGAUCCACGUGAACAAUUCCAUACAUUUCCAAUGUGAAUACAGCGGAACAACGGACACCUACAACAUCUUCUGGUACCAGCAAAAAACGGGGAAGGCUCUGGAGCUGGUGGCUUACUCUUAUUCAGUAAAUGACCUGACGGUGGAACCAAAAUUUAAGAAUAUUUGGAACAUAAAAUGAUCCGAAGUUACAAAGUCCUCUCUUCAGUGUGAUAAAACAGACGCUGAGGAGUCGGCUGUGUAUUUCUGUACAGCA